CCGCUAGGAGAAGAAGAUCUUGUUGCAUAUAUUAUAAAUGGCCUUGAUGCAGAUUAUGAUCCUGUUGUUGAGUCAUUCGUGGAAAAAAUAGAGCCAGUCACGGUGUCUCAGCUUUACUCACAACUUCUGAAUUUCGAGA
This is a non-coding RNA of Oryza brachyantha (malo sina), 139 nucleotides long. NCBI's taxonomy places the organism in Eukaryota, Viridiplantae, Streptophyta, Magnoliopsida, Poales, Poaceae. The record is from Rfam.